This is a long non-coding RNA of Equus asinus (donkey), 3080 nucleotides long. NCBI's taxonomy places the organism in Eukaryota, Metazoa, Chordata, Mammalia, Perissodactyla, Equidae. The record is from Ensembl.
ACUAAGGAGGGCAUACCCCAUAAAGUGGCUGCUGCUGCUCAGCUUUCUCAGAGCGCAGGCCCUGCCUUGCCAGACUGUCUGAUAUUUUUCAGAGGCCAGAACUCCGAAUUUUUAUGUGAAAUAUCUGAUUUUGAAAUGUUGGCAGUCGGUUCAGAAAAUUUAAAAACCCAACGUGAAAGAGAAUGCCAAUUUGUAAUCUCUGAAGGAGAGCGAGCUUGUGCUGGGGAGAAGUCCACAGAGAUACUUAGAGGUGGCUGUGAAAGUUCUAGGCCUCCUGGAGCAGCCUGGGCCGGAGCAGCUUCCUCGUCACCGAGGCCCCUCCCAGAGUGGGCAGCUGCCCGUGUUCAUCCUGCUCACUCUCCCUGCAGACCAGAGACAGAUCAGAGACCCCCUGCAGCUGCUGUGUCAGCAGAGGGAGGGGAGCAGAAUAGAGAGAGUGUGGGCCUCAGCCUGGCAGGGCGAUGGAUGGUGCCUGAGAGAGAAGGAGGGAGGGAGGGACAGGAUGCCUGUGCUGAUGUGAGUGCCUGUCAGGGAAGGCACCAGGGGCUGGCAGCUCUUCCAACCAGCAGCUCUCGGCCUAGAGCCAGGCCCAGGAGCAAGGCCAGCUGGUCAGUCCCUUGCCUCGCCAACUUCCUAAUGGGGUCAGUGGGCCCUGGGGAGGUGCCCGACCUUCCCCAGUGCCACACCCCUGCCAGACCAAUCUGAGGGGCAUUGUGACCCCUGACUCACCAUCCCAUCCCAUCCCAGCUUUCGGGGAGCACAGAUGGUGGUCCCUGUCUUUCCACAUUCGCCUGAGGCAGAGAUGGCUCACUUUGGGAGGCAUGAGGCUGAAAACGAGGCCUUUUCUGGGUCUGAAAGUGGGUGUUCCCUGUGGGCUGUUCAUAGGCAGGGGAGUGGCCCCAGAUGCCCCUGCGCACGACAGUGCUUGAGGUGAAGAGGUGUGUGAGGGAGCUGGGGUCAGGGAGCUGGGGAAGCUGCUCCUGUGGGGGAGCCCAGAAGCCUCUGACUCACAGGCUCCCUCCCGCAGUCUUGGGGAGGAGGAAGCCGAAUGAAGCCCCGUCCCCUACUGUGUCUGCCAGCGAGGGAGCUGAUGACCCCACACGCAUAAGCCCCUAGCACUCCCCUUCCUAGCGGAGACCUCGGCCUGUGGGGACCACCACAGGAGAUAGUGGUGCUUUUUAGUUUAUUUUUAACUGUUUCUCAUAUGUAGCAACCUCUCCUCCCCACGCGGGCGGGCGUGUUUACACGGGCUCUGCUCCCUGGGGCUGCCUGGCUGCAGAGUUUCCGGGGACACAGAGGCAGGGACUUUGGGGCCUUAGUCACCAUCACCUCAUCUCACUUCCCGUGAGGGACAGGGGCUCGCUCCCCCACCCCCUACCCGGCUCAGGACUGCCUUCUAGCACUCAGCCAGGCCCCUCUGCUCGUGGGGUGGGGGCUGCCGGCUGAGGAGGGGCCAAGGUGAGGUCAGAGGAAGCGGCUUGAGGGUGGGUCGCAUGGGGGUGAUCACGUGGUCUCCCCAAAGCCUGGCUCCUGUGCUGAGGGCUGGGUCAGAACACUGGGAAGCUGGGUUAGAGAGCCUUCCCAACCACCUGACUGCCGGUCCUCUCCCUCCCAUGGCCUCAGCACAUUGUCACGUCCCCUCACCCAUCACGCCAGCCACCCCAUCCUUCCUGGGCGUGGCCAAGGGGGGAUAGCAGCAGCCCCCGGCCCAAGGGCGCGAUGAUGAAGCCUAGGGCUCUGAGCAGAAGAAAGAGCCUGAGGUUGGCCUUAUCUGGUUUCCAGCCCUCUGUGUCAUCUCAUGCCCCACCCCUUCCAGCUUCGACUUGACUUCCUGGCUCUGGGACAGUCUGAUUCUGGCCAGUAGUGUGCCCAGAGGCCUGUGUGCCCCUGUGCGCCUGGUUCUCUGCUGGGAUGUUUUCUGGUUUAGCUGUGUUGCAUCCCCAGGCCCACCCUCUGGCUUCAGAAUGCAGGGCCGUGCGAGCUGGGCCUGCAUAUUGACUGUGUUCUUUGUGCAAGAGCUCGACUGUGUUGAAAUCCCCACGUCCCUGUUCCCACUGAGUACCGGGUGUGCAGGGCAGGGAGAGGAGUGUGCGUUGGGAGGCAGGAGGUCUGUUCCAGGCCAGGCAGCACUGCCCAGUGCUAGCUGCCAGUCCGUCAGGAUUGACUCCUUGCCCCGUCUUGGUGCUCCGGAGUCCGAGUUUCCCUUCUUAAAGCCUGAUGAGAGAUGCAGCCAGUGUGUUUGUCCCGGAGACCUGGUGAUGGCGCCGCCCCCUCCCUUAACUUUGUGUUGGGCUGCGUGUGGUCCUAGGCUUUGUUCUUCUCAUAUCAGUAUUGCCCUCCCCUUUCACCUUUACACUUCGUCUCAUUCCUGUUCUCACUUUCCCCUGAAAUGAAUAAAGUACCCCCAGCUCCGCUGUGUGCGCUGGGCGGAAACCACUGCAUACGUGUAAGCCUCGUCUCCUUUCUUCUGGAAGCUGGGGCUGGAGCCCGGCCCACUGGUAGCUCUAGGAAGAACGUGACCAGAGGUGAGGGGAGCCCCAAACCAGCCAACAGAAAACCUCGCAGCCCCCGCAGUCACAAUGAAGCUUCUUGGGCCCCAGACUGUCACCCUCAGCCUGCCGAAGCCGCUGAGCUCUUGUUAAUCCUGAUCUGGAGAUCCUUCCUGCUGGCUGUAAAUGAACCCCUUCUCCCUCACACAGCCAGCUUGGCCGGAGGCCGGAGUCUGCUCCCAGGAUGCAUUCCAGAGCCCUGCUCUUCCUGUCCUAGUCCCCAGCAGUCCUUCGGGAACAGAGGAGGAAGGGCUAACGGCAUGUGCCUGCCUGCUUUAGGCGUGUGACUGAUUUGGGUGGGACCUUUGGAUGGAGGCGGCACUUUUCAGAGGCCUGAACGUGCAGAGGUUGAAGCUCUGCCACCACCAUCUGCCAGGAUCUGACAUCUUGACCGCUACCGUGGAGGGCAAUGGUGACAAGAAGCGGUGGUCACAUCAAAGGCAGAGCUGCCUGGCCCAGAUGCGGGCUGCUGAGGGUUUGCCAGGGGGCGAGGGGACCAGCUGCUGAGGCCCGGCAGGUGGCGGAGACGGG